Long non-coding RNA from Nothobranchius furzeri (turquoise killifish), 2065 nucleotides. NCBI's taxonomy places the organism in Eukaryota, Metazoa, Chordata, Actinopteri, Cyprinodontiformes, Nothobranchiidae. The record is from Ensembl.
AUGAGCACUUUUGUUGUGUGCUUCAAGGUGACAGAGAGUGAAAACAAGCUGAAGCAGAGCCUCGCUGAGUGUGAGCUGCAGCUGCAGACCCUGGAAAGGGAGCGAGCAGAACAGCGCCAGACCAUCAGCCGGCUGCAGGAGGAGGUGCAUCAAGUCAGAGCAACAGCGGCUGACCUCCAAGUCCGAUCUGAUGAAGCUGAGGAGAGGGCCUCCCAGCUGCAGCUGCAGCUGCAGACGCGAGGAGCAGAGUGCAGGGAGCUGGAAGAGCUGCGCAUUUUAACCCGCAACCAGGAGCAGAAGGUGGUCCAGAACCUCAGAGAGGCUCACCAGAGCCAGACGGAGCUGGCCAACCUGGAGGCCAUAGUAGCCUUGCUGCACCUUCGACAGGGUCCUGAGGGCCCUCUGUGCACCAACCCAUGCAUGCUGCCCCCUGUGGAGCACUCUGGAGCUGCACAUCUGCUGCACCUGAAACCAGGCGAAGGCUACCAGCAGCUGCUGCGAGUGCUGCAGCUAAAGGAAGCUGAGAGCAGGAAGCAGAUCAGCCUGAACAAGCAGCUGCAGGAGCGUCUGAGCAGAGCGCAGGAGGAGAUCUUCUCCCUGCAGAACUCCAUGAGCCAGAGAGCCUCUCACUACCAGAACCUCCACACUGAGCUGCUGGGCAAAGUCAGCCAAGCCACCGACACAGAGAAGGAGGUGACAUGCGUUCUCCUGUCAUUUAUAUGUGUGUGUGUGUAUCAGUUUUUGCACAUGUGGAUGUGUGUGUGUGUGCAGGUGUGUGCAUGUGGCAGCUGGUGAAUUUCUUUUUGGGUGGGGCUCAUUUUUGCAAGUCAGUUUUCAGAAGCGCUAACCACAUAUCACCACUAGGGGAUGCCAAAUUACCAUUCUUAUGCGUCACACUGCUAAUUGAACGUGACAUACCCGGUACCAGGUCCACGACCACAUCAAACAGCAAAGUUGUUCCAAAAACAUGCUUGGUGUUUACCAAUAUAUGCAAAUUGCAAACGUACUUAACCGAAGCAGCUAAUCUAAAUGAUAAAAUACACGUUUUCUACCUCAACAACCCCGAUGACAAUAAGCAGCUACAUGAAAAGCAAAACAAAGCUAAUUUCAGGAAUUCUAAAGUGUAAAUUCAGUCUUACAUUUGCUGGUUUGUGGUAAUAAUAAUCUGUGUUAUAGUAAAGAGAUCCACUGUCGCCGCUGCGAUCAGAGAUGCGCCCCGCCUGGGAGAACCGGGUGGACAACAUCGGUUUCCAUCCGAGAGCUCCACAAGCCGGCAGCCCACGCAGCAGACAAGCGCCGCGGCGAUCAGAGAUGCGCCGAGCUGCAGUUGAGGGGAGGGGACCAUACCGAUAGUCGGAACCCAGCUCUACCAACAUGUAUACCAACAUAUUUCAACCCAUUUCCAAAAAUGCAGCAUUAUGUUAAAUGCACUGGGUUUUACCUUAUUACCGUAUUUUCCGGACUAUAAGUCACACUUUUUUCAUAGUCUGGCCGGUCCUGCGACUUAUCCUCUGGAAUGACUUAAUUAUGUAGGCUGUACCGCGCUGCUGCGGGCCGGCUCUGGACCAGGAAUGAGCUCCCCUGCCCCACUGGGAAUUAAAAGCACACAGCCAUCACCUGCCGGAGCCUGUUGCGCGCCGUUGCGUACUGGAUCCGGCCCAGGUUUCAGCUCCUCUGCCCCGCCAUCACCUGCUGCAGCCUGUGGCUUGCUGCUGCGGGCCGGCUCUGGACCAGGAAUGAGCUCCCCUGUCCCGCUGGGACAGAAGAGUGAGAAAAAAAUUCACCCCCCUCAGAGUUGUCAUGAGUGUAAACUAGAUCAUUUAAAGGGAUUUUACGGAGUUUUGAAUUUUUAUGCUCGUGAUCGCCCCCUCAGGCCCAAAGCGUAACGGCAGCUUCAAUAGUAGGCUCGUGCACGAGGCGCGCAUGCUGUACGUGCACACUCCUUAACGAAAAUAACAGCAGAGACAGUCAGCUCCGUGUGUGUGUGUGUGUGUGUGUGUGUGUGUGUGUGUGUGUGUGUGUGUGUGUGUGUGUGUGUGGCCCGGAGGACAGAGGACAGGAGAAC